CAUGUCUUUUACUGCUCCUCCAGCUCCAGAAGAUGCUCUUUUUCACCUUGGUACUAGGAUCCACAAGGAGCGAGGGUAGCGAAUGCAGGAAACAGCAAGAGCAUUUCCAUCAGAAGGGUGAUAGAGACAGGAUGCGUCACUGCUCACUGGCUCAGGCCAUUUUAAGAAAAAAACAAACAAACAAAAAACACAAAACACAGUAUUAAAGCAGGGCAUAUGUUUCAGAGGUGGCUUGGGAGAAAAGAUGAAAUACUGAAUUUAAAGAGUUUGAAGCUUGGUUGUGGGUAACUGUGAUCUGGGAUAUAUAUUUUAGAAACUGUAUGGGUCACCAACAUGAAAAUACCUCUUUUUUUUUUUUUUUUUUUUUUUUUUUUUUUCCAGCUAAACUGCAUUAAAACAAAGGUUAUAUUGUUCUAAGUACUAUCUCAUGUCAGCAAUUAGUGGGACCACACCUUAUGUUAUCAGUGCCCAGAGACCAGCUUCAGACACCUGGAGCUACAGAUGGAUGCACUAUAUAACCCUGACCAUCAGACCUGUCUACACAUUUAUGAAGAAAGGUGGAAACCCUCCAACACAGAUAUUUCAAAAGAAGAAUAACAAUUCAGUUUUACUGAUCCAUUGGGAAAAAAAGACACAUGAACUGAGUUUACUAAAGAUCCAUAGACAGUCUUUGCAUCUCCUUUCAACAUCAAGGGUUAUCCUGACAGCAAAGGGCAUGUAUAUGCUUUACAAAAGGAAGGGGAUGAUAUACUGCACUAUAGACAUUGCUGUUUGUUGGUACUUUUGUCUCAGAAGUCACAGCAUCAAGUGACAUUUGUAUGUAUGACAUUAGUUGAGUGACUAUGCAUACACAUAUGUACCUUCAAACAAAUAAAAGCAAUGUGUUAAUUAUUAGAA
Molecule: long non-coding RNA, 897 nt
Organism: Oxyura jamaicensis (ruddy duck)
Lineage: Eukaryota; Metazoa; Chordata; Aves; Anseriformes; Anatidae
Exons: 3
Source: RefSeq, a predicted model, not a curated record